This 1404-nucleotide ribosomal RNA is filed under the name Kluyvera sp. LS-120. RNAcentral describes it as "bacterial SSU rRNA". It matches the Rfam family "Bacterial small subunit ribosomal RNA". Lineage: Bacteria; Pseudomonadati; Pseudomonadota; Gammaproteobacteria; Enterobacterales; Enterobacteriaceae. The record is from RNAcentral.
GUGUUUGUUUCUUGGGUCUGAGUGAACGCGGGGGGCACGCGUAACACACGCAAAUGGAACGGUAGCACAGAGGAGCUUGGUCCUUGGGUGACGAGUGGCGGACGGGUGAGUAAUGUCUGGGAAACUGCCCGAUGGAGGGGGAUAACUACUGGAAACGGUAGCUAAUACCGCAUAAUGUCGCAAGACCAAAGAGGGGGACCUUCGGGCCUCUUGCCAUCGGAUGUGCCCAGAUGGGAUUAGCUAGUUGGUGAGGUAAUGGCUCACCAAGGCGACGAUCCCUAGCUGGUCUGAGAGGAUGACCAGCCACACUGGAACUGAGACACGGUCCAGACUCCUACGGGAGGCAGCAGUGGGGAAUAUUGCACAAUGGGCGCAAGCCUGAUGCAGCCAUGCCGCGUGUGUGAAGAAGGCCUUCGGGUUGUAAAGCACUUUCAGCGGGGAGGAAGGCAAUGCGGUUAAUAACCGUGUUGAUUGACGUACCCGCAGAGAAACACCGGAGAACUCCGUGCCAGCAGCCGCGGUAAUACGGAGGGUGCAAGCGUUAAUCGGAAUUACUGGGCGUAAAGCGCACGCAGGCGGUCUGUCAAGUCGGAUGUGAAAUCCCCGGGCUCAACCUGGGAACUGCAUUCGAAACUGGCAGGCUUGAGUCUUGUAGAGGGGGGUAGAAUUCCAGGUGUAGCGGUGAAAUGCGUAGAGAUCUGGAGGAAUACCGGUGGCGAAGGCGGCCCCCUGGACAAAGACUGACGCUCAGGUGCGAAAGCGUGGGGAGCAAACAGGAUUAGAUACCCUGGUAGUCCACGCCGUAAACGAUGUCGACUUGGAGGUUGUGCCCUUGAGGCGUGGCUUCCGGAGCUAACGCGUUAAGUCGACCGCCUGGGGAGUACGGCCGCAAGGUUAAAACUCAAAUGAAUUGACGGGGGCCCGCACAAGCGGUGGAGCAUGUGGUUUAAUUCGAUGCAACGCGAAGAACCUUACCUGGUCUUGACAUCCACGGAAUUUGGCAGAGAUGCCUUAGUGCCUUCGGGAACCGUGAGACAGGUGCUGCAUGGCUGUCGUCAGCUCGUGUUGUGAAAUGUUGGGUUAAGUCCCGCAACGAGCGCAACCCUUAUCCUUUGUUGCCAGCGGUCCGGCCGGGAACUCAAAGGAGACUGCCAGUGAUAAACUGGAGGAAGGUGGGGAUGACGUCAAGUCAUCAUGGCCCUUACGACCAGGGCUACACACGUGCUACAAUGGCAUAUACAAAGAGAAGCGACCUCGCGAGAGCAAGCGGACCUCAUAAAGUAUGUCGUAGUCCGGAUUGGAGUCUGCAACUCGACUCCAUGAAGUCGGAAUCGCUAGUAAUCGUGGAUCAGAAUGCCACGGUGAAUACGUUCCCGGGCCUUGUACACACCGCCCGUCACACCA